RNAcentral lists this ribosomal RNA (253 nucleotides) under uncultured bacterium. RNAcentral describes it as "partial 16S ribosomal RNA". It matches the Rfam family "Bacterial small subunit ribosomal RNA", at positions 524 to 776 of the family's 1533-position model. The record is from RNAcentral.
UACAGAGGGGGCAAGCGUUAUUCGGAAUUAUUGGGCGUAAAGGGCGCGUAGGCGGCCUGGCAAGUGGAAGGUGAAAUCCCUCGGCUUAACCGAGGAACUGCCCUCCAAACUGCUUGGCUUGAGUCCGGGAGAGGUGAGUGGAAUUCCCAGUGUAGCGGUGAAAUGCGUAGAGAUCGGGAGGAACAUCAGUUGCGAAGGCGGCUCUCUGGACCAGCACUGACACUGAGGCACGAAAGCGUGGGGAGCAAACAGG